This 120-nucleotide ribosomal RNA is filed under the name Amycolatopsis orientalis. Lineage: Bacteria; Bacillati; Actinomycetota; Actinomycetes; Pseudonocardiales; Pseudonocardiaceae. The record is from RNAcentral.
AGUCCGGCGGUGUCCUACUCUCCCACAACCCUUCGGUUGCAGUACCAUCGGCGCUGUCAGGCUUAGCUUCCGGGUUCGGAAUGGGACCGGGCGUUUCCCUGACGCUAUGACCACCGAAAC